GGUAGCGUGGCCGAGCGGUGUAAGGCGCUGGUUUUAGGCACCAGUCAUUUCGAUGGCGUGGGUUCGAAUCCCACCGCUGCCA
This 82-nucleotide transfer RNA is filed under the name Strongylocentrotus purpuratus (purple sea urchin). Its description in RNAcentral is "tRNA-Leu (TAG) (tRNA-Leu-TAG-4-1)". It matches the Rfam family "tRNA". Rfam says of the family: Transfer RNA (tRNA) molecules are approximately 80 nucleotides in length. Lineage: Eukaryota; Metazoa; Echinodermata; Echinoidea; Camarodonta; Strongylocentrotidae. The record is from RNAcentral.